Long non-coding RNA from Trichomycterus rosablanca, 458 nucleotides. RefSeq lists it as uncharacterized. The transcript has 4 exons. Lineage: Eukaryota; Metazoa; Chordata; Actinopteri; Siluriformes; Trichomycteridae. The record is from RefSeq and is a predicted model, not a curated record.
UGGUGUGUAAAGAACUUUUAACCAAAUAAAAUCAUACAUUUUUAUAGUUAUAACAACAAUUUCUCAUGUCAAACUGUUUUUUUUUUUCCUUUUCUUUACUCUACAGGCACCUGUAUGGGUUUGUAGCAGACAGAUCAUGGCACAGGUCUGCUACAAGAACACAUCCAGAGGUUUUUAGCUGAGGUUCAGAUCACCUCCAUUCCUCAGCACCAUGUACAUACCACGCCAGGUCAGAAAGAAAGUCCCAUCAAUGAACAAGUCUAACCUACUGGAAGAAGCAACCAGAUCAGAUUUGGGCCUAAGCACCUUGAUACCUCACAGAAGAUGAAAUGACUGAGUCACCACAACAAUCUAUGAUCAACGACCACGUCUGUCAUCCUGAAAGCACUUUGACCUUCUCUGUGAUGGUGUAUGAGACAAGAGAGGAAACAAAACCAAUAAAAUAUUGAAUAAAACUG